AACACAUGCAAGUCGCAGGGUAACAUGAGGAAAGCUUGCUUCUUGAUGACGACUGGCGCACGGGUGAGUAACGCGUAUCCCACCUUUCCCAUAACUACGGGAUAACCCGUUGAAAGACGGCCUAAUACCGUAUGAUAUCGUUUGCUGACAUCAAAUAACGAUUAAAGGUUUAGCGGUUAUGGAUGGGGAUGCGUCUGAUUAGCUUGUGGGCGGGGUAACGGCCCACCAAGGCGACGAUCAGUAGGGGUUCUGAGAGGAAGGUCCCCCACAUUGGAACUGAGACACGGUCCAAACUCCUACGGGAGGCAGCAGUGAGGAAUAUUGGUCAAUGGGCGAGAGCCUGAACCAGCCAAGUAGCGUGCAGGAUGACGGCCCUAUGGGUUGUAAACUGCUUUUAUGUGGGGAUAAAGUGCGUGACGUGUCAUGCAUUGCAGGUACCACAUGAAUAAGGACCGGCUAAUUCCGUGCCAGCAGCCGCGGUAAUACGGAAGGUCCGGGCGUUAUCCGGAUUUAUUGGGUUUAAAGGGAGCGUAGGCUGUCUAUUAAGCGUGUUGUGAAAUUUACCGGCUCAACCGGUGGCUUGCAGCGCGAACUGGUCGACUUGAGUAUGCAGGAAGUAGGCGGAAUUCAUGGUGUAGCGGUGAAAUGCUUAGAUAUCAUGACGAACUCCGAUUGCGCAGGCAGCUUACUGUAGCAUAACUGACGCUGAUGCUCGAAAGUGCGGGUAUCAAACAGGAUUAGAUACCCUGGUAGUCCGCACGGUAAACGAUGGAUGCUCGCUAUUCGUCCCUUUUGGAUGAGUGGCCAAGUGAAAACAUUAAGCAUCCCACCUGGGGAGUACGCCGGC
This 847-nucleotide ribosomal RNA is filed under the name uncultured Prevotella sp. RNAcentral's name for it is "bacterial SSU rRNA". It matches the Rfam family "Bacterial small subunit ribosomal RNA", at positions 50 to 889 of the family's 1533-position model. The record is from RNAcentral. Lineage: Bacteria; Pseudomonadati; Bacteroidota; Bacteroidia; Bacteroidales; Prevotellaceae.